This 254-nucleotide ribosomal RNA is filed under the name uncultured bacterium. RNAcentral describes it as "partial 16S ribosomal RNA". It matches the Rfam family "Bacterial small subunit ribosomal RNA", at positions 524 to 776 of the family's 1533-position model. The record is from RNAcentral.
UACGGGGGGAGCAAGCGUUGUUCGGAUUUACUGGGCGUAAAGGGCGCGUAGGCGGCCUGUGCAAGUCAGUUGUGAAAUCUCCGGGCUUAACUCGGAAAGGUCAACUGAUACUGCUCGGCUAGAGUGCGGAAGGGGCAACUGGAAUUCUUGGUGUAGCGGUGAAAUGCGUAGAUAUCAAGAGGAACACCUGCGGCGAAGGCGGCAUCCUGGACCAACACUGACACUGAGGAGCGAAAGCCAGGGGAGCAAACGGG